This 322-nucleotide ribosomal RNA is filed under the name uncultured bacterium. RNAcentral describes it as "partial 16S ribosomal RNA". It matches the Rfam family "Bacterial small subunit ribosomal RNA", at positions 355 to 693 of the family's 1533-position model. The record is from RNAcentral.
UGGGGAAUAUUGGACAAUGGGGGCAACCCUGAUCCAGCAAUGCCGCGUGUGUGAAGAAGGUCUUCGGAUUGUAAAGCACUUUCGACGGGGACGAUGAUGACGGUACCCGUAGAAGAAGCCCCGGCUAACUUCGUGCCAGCAGCCGCGGUAAUACGAAGGGGGCUAGCGUUGCUCGGAAUGACUGGGCGUAAAGGGCGUGUAGGCGGUUUACACAGUCAGAUGUGAAAUCCCCGGGCUUAACCUGGGAGCUGCAUUUGAUACGUGUAGACUAGAGUGUGAGAGAGGGUUUGUGGAAUUCCCAGUGUAGAGGUGAAAUUCGUAG